Molecule: ribosomal RNA, 802 nt
Filed under: Acinetobacter baumannii
Lineage: Bacteria; Pseudomonadati; Pseudomonadota; Gammaproteobacteria; Moraxellales; Moraxellaceae
Description: bacterial SSU rRNA
Rfam family: Bacterial small subunit ribosomal RNA
Source: RNAcentral
GUUUGAUCAUGGCUCAGAUUGAACGCUGGCGGCAGGCUUAACACAUGCAAGUCGAGCGGGGGAAGGUAGCUUGCUACUGGACCUAGCGGCGGACGGGUGAGUAAUGCUUAGGAAUCUGCCUAUUAGUGGGGGACAACAUCUCGAAAGGGAUGCUAAUACCGCAUACGUCCUACGGGAGAAAGCAGGGGAUCUUCGGACCUUGCGCUAAUAGAUGAGCCUAAGUCGGAUUAGCUAGUUGGUGGGGUAAAGGCCUACCAAGGCGACGAUCUGUAGCGGGUCUGAGAGGAUGAUCCGCCACACUGGGACUGAGACACGGCCCAGACUCCUACGGGAGGCAGCAGUGGGGAAUAUUGGACAAUGGGGGGAACCCUGAUCCAGCCAUGCCGCGUGUGUGAAGAAGGCCUUAUGGUUGUAAAGCACUUUAAGCGAGGAGGAGGCUACUUUAGUUAAUACCUAGAGAUAGUGGACGUUACUCGCAGAAUAAGCACCGGCUAACUCUGUGCCAGCAGCCGCGGUAAUACAGAGGGUGCGAGCGUUAAUCGGAUUUACUGGGCGUAAAGCGUGCGUAGGCGGCUUAUUAAGUCGGAUGUGAAAUCCCCGAGCUUAACUUGGGAAUUGCAUUCGAUACUGGUGAGCUAGAGUAUGGGAGAGGAUGGUAGAAUUCCAGGUGUAGCGGUGAAAUGCGUAGAGAUCUGGAGGAAUACCGAUGGCGAAGGCAGCCAUCUGGCCUAAUACUGACGCUGAGGUACGAAAGCAUGGGGAGCAAACAGGAUUAGAUACCCUGGUAGUCCAUGCCGUAAAC